This is a long non-coding RNA of Ixodes scapularis (black-legged tick), 744 nucleotides long. RefSeq lists it as uncharacterized. The record is from RefSeq and is a predicted model, not a curated record. The transcript has 2 exons. Lineage: Eukaryota; Metazoa; Arthropoda; Arachnida; Ixodida; Ixodidae.
UUGUAUCUGAUAUGUGUCCAAGUCGUCCAUAUGAUAUCCUACGUGCCGAGCAUGGGCACACGAGAAGCCUUGCUAUCUGACACUCGACCGGUUUCGGGCAGUCUCUGAGGAGUUUCGAGCGAGUUAUCAACUCGUGGAAAGGAGCCUCUACAUGUCGCGUGCCCCCUCAAUCAAAAACACAUGCGACACACAACGUAAAUGCGUCAAGUAAUAAAAAAAAAAAAAAAUAACAAUAAAAAAAUUUUUUGUUGCGUUAACGGUGCUUUGGGGACAACGUUCGAUAAAUGCGGCAGAGGGUAUGUAGAGGUUCCCGCCGGUUAGCUGAGGACUUAUAAUCGCGAUAACAGGAAACGAGAUUUUGUUGCCCAGUGCAAUGAAAGCGCAGAGCUGCGUACUGCAUACCUGGGUCAUUAUUAACGCUGCUUGUUUGCUUUCACGCUGCGCUGCGGAUUAACUGGGCAAUGGAUAGCAGGAACGUAUCAGAGAAGGUGCCGGCUUUUGAAGAGCCCUUAUGCCAGCCAGCCAAGAGGAACGAGAUCACUGCAUGCCCGACAAGAAAAUUCAAGGCACCCGAAAACUCUACAGCAGAACAGGAGUCAGGCAAAGGAAGGCAACAGCCUCCCCCUGAAAAUCAAUCCAAGAAAUGAGCGAAGACCAUUCUUACAGAUAGAAUCUUCACAAUUCAAAGGUCUGCACAUCUGAAACCAUUUGCUCAAAGCCACAUUAAAUUCUACCAGCAACCUU